This 253-nucleotide ribosomal RNA is filed under the name uncultured bacterium. RNAcentral's name for it is "partial 16S ribosomal RNA". It matches the Rfam family "Bacterial small subunit ribosomal RNA", at positions 524 to 776 of the family's 1533-position model. The record is from RNAcentral.
UACGUAGGGUGCGAGCGUUGUCCGGAAUUAUUGGGCGUAAAGAGCUCGUAGGCGGUCUGUCGCGUCGGAUGUGAAAGCCCGGGGCUUAACUUUGGGUCUGCAUUCGAUACGGGUAGACUAGAGUGUGGUAGGGGAGAUUGGAAUUCCUGGUGUAGCGGUGAAAUGCGCAGAUAUCAGGAGGACCACCGGUGGCGAAGGCGGAUCUCUGGGCCAUUACUGACGCUGAGGAGCGAAAGCGUGGGGAGCGAACAGG